RNAcentral lists this long non-coding RNA (358 nucleotides) under Physcomitrium patens. RNAcentral's name for it is "long non-coding RNA (PPAT_LNC002830)". Lineage: Eukaryota; Viridiplantae; Streptophyta; Bryopsida; Funariales; Funariaceae. The record is from RNAcentral.
UGUUGAAAUACCAAGCAAUGUGCACUGGAAUCAACAAUAGUUGGGAUGCGAACUCUAUUUGGCAGCGACUCUACUACAGCACGACGGUGCCAUAGUGUUGUGGAUUGUUACCAUGGCACCUUCUUCAUCUAAUCCUUGCUUUAUCAAAGGUGGGUCCUCUAUUUUAUUUUUUUUGUAAUUCUCAAGUAAUUCUUGGAAAGGCGCUUCUCAUGUUCUUUUUUUUAGUUUUUUUCUCUGUCGUAAUCUGUGGUCGGACUGUUGGCAACGGAAGUGGAUUGUCCUUUGUUAUUGGUUGUUGCCUCCAAGCUGCAAAUGAACCAUAGCUGCCAAGGGUCGCCUGCAUUGCAUAGAACGGUGU